Molecule: non-coding RNA, 79 nt
Organism: Hyaena hyaena (striped hyena)
Lineage: Eukaryota; Metazoa; Chordata; Mammalia; Carnivora; Hyaenidae
Source: the annotation of a RefSeq genome assembly
GGCUCCGUGGCUCAGCUGGUUAAAGCGCCUGUCCUGUAAACAGGAGAUUCUGGGUUCGAGUCCCAGCGGGACGGGGCCC